GAUGAACGCUGGCGGCGUGCCUAAUACAUGCAAGUCGAGCGAAUGGAUUAAGAGCUUGCUCUUAUGAAGUUAGCGGUGGACGGGUGAGUAACACGUGAGUAACCUGCCCAUAAGACUGGGAUAACUCCGGGAAACCGGGGCUAAUACCGGAUAACAUUUUGAACCGCAUGGUUCGAAAUUGAAAGGCGGCUUCGGCGGUCACUUAUGGAUGGACCCGCGUCGCAUUAGCUAGUUGGUGAGGUAACGGCUCACCAAGGCAACGAUGCGUAGCCGACCUGAGAGGGUGAUCGGCCACACUGGGACUGAGACACGGCCCAGACUCCUACGGGAGGCAGCAGUAGGGAAUCUUCCGCAAUGGACGAAAGUCUGACGGAGCAACGCCGCGUGAGUGAUGAAGGCUUUCGGGUCGUAAAACUCUGUUGUUAGGGAAAAACAAGUGCUAGUUGAAUAAGCUGGCACCUUGACGGUACCUAACCAGAAAGCCACGGCUAACUACGUGCCAGCCGCCGCGGUAA
RNAcentral lists this ribosomal RNA (515 nucleotides) under uncultured bacterium. RNAcentral describes it as "partial 16S ribosomal RNA". It matches the Rfam family "Bacterial small subunit ribosomal RNA", at positions 28 to 523 of the family's 1533-position model. The record is from RNAcentral.